AAGGGGCGUAUGACAUUUGCGCCGAUUUUUAAAAUUUUCAUUCUUUCAUUUGCGCCGAUUCAUUUUUCAUUUGCGCCGAUUUUAUAUUUGCUCCUAAUUGGAUUUACAGGUAAGUUAAUACUUGUACAUGUACUAUACCGUGCAGGUAUAUUGGUAAAAUCUGUUUAUAAACAAAGGUUUUAGUUAAUUUUGAUUCAUAUUGUUCUGAACUUUGCUGUAAUUGAUGGACAUAUUGCACACUGCAACGAGCCGAGGAGUCAAUUAUUUUAACCAUCGACGGCCAUACACAUAAGUACGUUAAUAGCAAGACAAAGAAAAGAUAGAUUUCGUUAUUGACAAUUACAACAAAUAUAGAAGAGACGAAAUCAAAAGAAAGGAAUAUAUU
RNAcentral lists this long non-coding RNA (385 nucleotides) under Mytilus galloprovincialis (Mediterranean mussel). Lineage: Eukaryota; Metazoa; Mollusca; Bivalvia; Mytilida; Mytilidae. The record is from RNAcentral.